RNAcentral lists this long non-coding RNA (1275 nucleotides) under Anser brachyrhynchus (Pink-footed goose). RNAcentral's name for it is "lncRNA (ENSABRG00000015423.1)". The record is from RNAcentral. Lineage: Eukaryota; Metazoa; Chordata; Aves; Anseriformes; Anatidae.
AAUCUGUAUCUCCCUCUUUAAUGCAGAGCUUUUAUUUAUUUCCAAUGUAUUUACUGCCGAUUGUCCAGCAGUAUCAGAAGGACAGUGGCAUGAUGGUUAUACGAUGCUGAAGCUCCAGCUCUCCACUUGGAGCCUGCUAUAAUCCAAGCCAGUAACAAAUCAAGAAUCAUAAGCAUGGCUACGGUUGAGAACCUACCAUCAGUCUGGCCUCUCUCUGAUAGAAACCCUCCACCAUCAGCAGUCUCAGUACAAAUGUCAGCACAGAGUGGUUUAUAGGAACGGAUGCUGUGAGUGACAAUGUUUGGGAAGACGAUAACAUCUGGAAUCGCUGCAGCUAAAGUUGAGAGGUUUUGGGGGGUGUAAAGAUCUUUAAAUUCCUGAUUUUUGAAUGUCGUGAUAUUGUGCUAGCUAAAAAAAAUAAUCCUGUAACAUCUGUCUCCACCUUUAUAUCUGUAAAUCCUGUCUGCACCUUUCUGUAACUGCCCUUCUGUAACCUACUUCACUUAGAACAAUUGGUAAAGCACUUAUUUCCAUAAUGAUUAUGCAGAGAACUACAUAAAACCCUAGAGUUACAGCUAAGGACUUAUAAUAGUCCUUUCAAUUAUAAAAGAGGAGAAAAUAGGGGACUUUAUUAAUUGAAGAUGACAGGCUCUGUUCUGUUUCCUCUUCUGUAAAGUUUCAAAGCUUCUUUGAAACAAAUGCAGAACUUAAUUGUAUAGGAACAGUGUUAUCUAGUGUGCACCAUAUCAAAAAUGCUCAUUCAUUUGGGAUUGUGUUGUGAUGUAGUCAGAAGAAGCAGCCCCUCAAAAAAGCUCUAGAGAUCGAGAAAUGAGGUGGGUGAUGGGAAGAACUCAUUGAAUUAUUCAGAGUCAAGAACAGCAAUGUAUGCAGGUGCAUAACUUACUUUGUAACCUUUAGCUUCUGUUUAAUAUCUCUUUCUCAAGUAAAGAAAAAGUAUCACUUAUGCAGUAACUAAUCACUUUGACAUGAGAGUUUCCUGAUUAUGGAAGUUUCGCAGAAAAACAAAAGCACUCUAUCUGCUCUUCUUUGCACAGCCUUCAUCAUCUUUACUGAAUACCUAUAAAACAUUUUACACAGAAGUUUUACAUUUCAUGUGUUAUAAAAACAAAUAUAUAAAAACCUGUGUUUGAGACUGCAGGUAAAGGGAGAGCUGGUCUUUAAGUGCUUGAACUGAGAGUAGCUCACUCUGAUAUUUAGAUCUUCUAAAGACUUGUAUUUAUCCUGAAUGGAGCUCCCCUUCAUCUUGGUACAAAU